RNAcentral lists this ribosomal RNA (814 nucleotides) under uncultured Geobacter sp. Its description in RNAcentral is "bacterial SSU rRNA". It matches the Rfam family "Bacterial small subunit ribosomal RNA", at positions 25 to 815 of the family's 1533-position model. Lineage: Bacteria; Pseudomonadati; Thermodesulfobacteriota; Desulfuromonadia; Geobacterales; Geobacteraceae. The record is from RNAcentral.
UUGAAACAUCGCUGGCGGCGUGCCUAACACAUGCAAGUCGAACGGAAUUGAGGGGCUUCGCUCCUCAAUUUAGUGGCGCACGGGUGAGUAACGCGUGGAUAAUCUACCUGAAGAUCCGGGAUAACAUUUCGAAAGGGGUGCUAAUACCGGAUAAGCCCACGGGGACUUUGGUUCUUGCGGGAAAAGAGGGGGACCUUCGGGCCUCUUGUCAUCAGAUGAGUCCGCGUACCAUUAGCUAGUUGGUGGGGUAAAGGCCCACCAAGGCGACGAUGGUUAGCUGGUCUGAGAGGAUGAUCAGCCACACUGGAACUGAGACACGGUCCAGACUCCUACGGGAGGCAGCAGUGGGGAAUUUUGCGCAAUGGGGGAAACCCUGACGCAGCAACGCCGCGUGAGUGAUGAAGGCCUUCGGGUCGUAAAGCUCUGUCUAGAGGAAAGAAAUGUAUGGGGGCUUAAUACCCUUUGUACUUGACGGUACCUCUGAAGGAAGCACCGGCUAACUCCGUGCCAGCAGCCGCGGUAAUACGGAGGGUGCGAGCGUUGUUCGGAAUUAUUGGGCGUAAAGCGCGUGUAGGCGGUUUCUUAAGUCUGAUGUGAAAGCCCCGGGCUCAACCUGGGAAGUGCAUUGGAUACUGGGAGACUUGAAUACGGGAGAGGGCAGUGGAAUUCCUAGUGUAGGAGUGAAAUCCGUAGAUAUUAGGAGGAACACCGGUGGCGAAGGCGGCUGCCUGGACCGAUAUUGACGCUGAGACGCGAAAGCGUGAGGAGCAAACAGGAUUAGAUACCCUGGUGUCGGCGCUCAAAGUCCCGGANU